UUGGAGAGUUUGAUCCUGGCUCAGGAUGAACGCUGGCGGCGUGCCUAAUACAUGCAAGUCGAGCGAACAGAUAAGGAGCUUGCUCCUUUGACGUUAGCGGCGGACGGGUGAGUAACACGUGGGUAACCUACCUAUAAGACUGGGAUAACUUCGGGAAACCGGAGCUAAUACCGGAUAACAUUUGGAACCGCAUGGUUCUAAAGUGAAAGAUGGUUUUGCUAUCACUUAUAGAUGGACCCGCGCCGUAUUAGCUAGUUGGUAAGGUAACGGCUUACCAAGGCGAACGAUACGUAGCCGACCUGAGAGGGUGAUCGGCCACACUGGAACUGAGACACGGUCCAGACUCCUACGGGAGGCAGCAGUAGGGAAUCUUCCGCAAUGGGCGAAAGCCUGACGGAGCAACGCCGCGUGAGUGAUGAAGGGUUUCGGCUCGUAAAACUCUGUUAUUAGGAAAACAAGAUGUGUAAGUACUGUGCCACGUCUGCAGGUACUAACGAAAACCGAGUCAUACC
This 512-nucleotide ribosomal RNA is filed under the name Staphylococcus saprophyticus. RNAcentral's name for it is "bacterial SSU rRNA". It matches the Rfam family "Bacterial small subunit ribosomal RNA", at positions 1 to 502 of the family's 1533-position model. The record is from RNAcentral. Lineage: Bacteria; Bacillati; Bacillota; Bacilli; Caryophanales; Staphylococcaceae.